AGCAGCCGCGGUAAUUCCAGCUCCAAUAGCGUAUAUUAAAGUUGUUGCAGUUAAAAGCUCGUAGUUGAAUUUCGGGAUCAGUACGCUGGUCAUGCCUUUGGUAUGCACUGGUGUCACUGGUUUCUCCCUUCUGAAGAUCCGUGAUGUCAUUAAUUUGGUGUCGCGGGGAAUCAGGACUGUUACUUUGAAAAAUUAGAGUGUUUAAAGCAGGCUCACGCUUGAAUACAUUAGCAUGGAAUAAUGAAAUAGGACGUUUGACCCUAUUUUGUUGGUUUCUAGGAUCGACGUAAUGAUUAAUAGGGAUAGUUGGGGGCAUUAGUAUUCAAUUGUCAGAGGUGAAAUUCUUGGAUUUAUUGAAGACUAACUACUGCGAAAGCAUUUGCCAAGGAUGUUUUCAUUAAUCAAGAACGAAAGUUAGGGGAUCGAAGACGAUCAGAUACCGUCGUAGCCUUAACCAUAAACUAUGCCGACUAGGGAUCGGAUGAUGUUAAUUUUAUAAUGACU
RNAcentral lists this unclassified non-coding RNA (504 nucleotides) under uncultured Glomus. RNAcentral describes it as "SSU rRNA". It matches the Rfam family "Eukaryotic small subunit ribosomal RNA", at positions 569 to 1076 of the family's 1831-position model. The record is from RNAcentral. Lineage: Eukaryota; Fungi; Glomeromycota; Glomeromycetes; Glomerales; Glomeraceae.